AUCAAUCAUAACGGACACACAGAUUUCAAAGGCAGCAGGAUGAAAGAUAUGUGUCUGUGUUCAUCAAGACAUGAAGACUCUGGAGUGGGACAAGAGAAGGAUGAUGGGGUGUAUAUUCCAAUAGACACAUUAAGUGAAAGCUGAUAAAUACAGAGGGCUGGACAGUGGUUUCAUUCAUUAGGUAAAGAGGUGGGACAAGGAUGCUGACAGGACAGGAGGAGGUGACAUUCAGCUGAAUUUCUCAUAGGUGGAUAAAGUAUGACAGCAAUUGUGAAGACCUUAGACGUGCAGUAUAUGGUUCUUCUCUCUUUCAUUUAUAUUGAUUUGACUUAAUUUUCUUGGUAAAU
This is a non-coding RNA of Paramisgurnus dabryanus, 347 nucleotides long. Lineage: Eukaryota; Metazoa; Chordata; Actinopteri; Cypriniformes; Cobitidae. The record is from RefSeq and is a predicted model, not a curated record.